GGGGCUGUAGCUCAGUGGUAGAGUGCUUGCCUAGCAUGCAUGAGGCAAUGGGUUCAAUCCUCAGCUCCC
Molecule: transfer RNA, 69 nt
Filed under: Marmota marmota marmota (Alpine marmot)
Lineage: Eukaryota; Metazoa; Chordata; Mammalia; Rodentia; Sciuridae
Also listed under: 1 other name
Rfam family: tRNA
About the family: Transfer RNA (tRNA) molecules are approximately 80 nucleotides in length. Their secondary structure includes four short double-helical elements and three loops (D, anti-codon, and T loops).
Source: Rfam by way of RNAcentral